This 33-nucleotide unclassified non-coding RNA is filed under the name Sorangium cellulosum So ce56. RNAcentral's name for it is "sce_Cardiovirus_CRE_16". Lineage: Bacteria; Pseudomonadati; Myxococcota; Polyangiales; Polyangiaceae. The record is from RNAcentral.
ACAGUGAGUUUUGUCGUAGUGCUAGACUUGACU